Molecule: long non-coding RNA, 904 nt
Organism: Agrilus planipennis (emerald ash borer)
Lineage: Eukaryota; Metazoa; Arthropoda; Insecta; Coleoptera; Buprestidae
Exons: 4
Source: RefSeq, a predicted model, not a curated record
AAAAGUGAGGGAGAUGGCGUAUGGUUUCAGACUAGUGCUAUCUCUAUCAUGACACGCAUACGCACUAUCGUAAGAGAGAUGGAUAUUGUCCGAAACUUUGUUCCAUCUCUUUCUUUUGUUGUACCACAAUUCUGACCGCUAAGGCAUGUCCAUUAAUAAACGUCGAUGUAUGCAUAGCAUAGCGUAUAUGUUACAUUCAUAGAGUAAGCUAGAUUAUAAAAAUUCGGUUAAGCAUACAUUUUGUAUCUAUGUUAUUUGUAAGUACUAUCUACAACCAUACGAGUAUUGGUCGUGGAAAGUGGCGCUAUCUAAUCAGUUAGGUAGUAAUCGGGAACUAAUAAGGAGCAAGAGUACGAGUAUGUAGUCUAGGUAAGUCAGGGUAUGAAAUGUCGAGCGCGAGCGACACCUAAGUUUACCCCACGUAAGUUUUUAAAUUUUUUAAAUUACCAAAAUCGACAUUACCGACAUACUAGGCGACAUACAUUUUACUGAAACGACAACAGAUGAUGCGACGGCGGUUGCGAUUAUCGGAGGAAUUCCCCAGUAGUUGUGGCGUUAUUGAGCGAUAGUGAGUAGUUUCACAACUUGUAAUAUUUUAAAAUUUUUGUGAAAAGUACUUUUACCUAUCCUGAAAAAAAACCGUGAUGUACAGUCUACACUAUUACGGGGUCAAAUUAAUUUGAAAUGUUCUACCUAGAUUAUACAGUUCCUGCAGGAGUUAAAGGUGAAGAAGCCGCUUUCCAUUUUCCUGAAGUAACAGCGGUUCCAACGAAAGUGGCAGAACUUCUUCUAAUAGAGGAAUAGAAGCAGACGGAAUUGCCCCAUUAAAAGAUGAAAAAGUACUGCAUCCAGUGAAAACAUAUGACGGGAAAAGAAGAAUUGUUUCAACUGCAGAAAGUACACU